UCUUCUUACAGGUUAUCCUGGCCUAGCUCCGAUGUUCUUACUUCUCCUUCAAAGUGUGAAUAUGACUGUUGUGGAAAUGGCCAACCAAAAAGCAACUGGAAUAUAUGUGCUUUGUGAGCCAAGGCAUGUCCUUCUGUGUGGCCUGGAAAAUCUCUAGCACCAUUGAUGACAUGACCAUAAAGCCAGUGAGAGGAGACAGGAACUGCCAUGCACCUCUGGAGUAUUUCACAACAAUCAACUCCACACAAAGCCUUCCCUUGCAGAGACCUAAGUGCCUGUGCCCAUUGGAAGACAACCUGAGUUGUCCACAAGUGGCUGUAGUCAAGAAAUUCAAGAAAUCAGCAUAACUUCUGCGAAAUUGGUGCUGCUCAAGAAUUGCUACCUAACCAGAAAGACUGAAACCUGGAUUCCAAGCGUACCAAUCCUGCACUUCUCUAUCAAUUGCUGAUAUGGAUCACUGGUCACAGCUCUAAUUGACUGAUUACACAAAAGCACUUUGCAAAAUCAAGACUAAGCCUCUGCAAAGUAUGAACUGCUGUUCCUAGUGACUGGCUCCAUCAGAGCUUCAAAGUUUGCAUAGAGCCACCAAAAUUGAAUUUACUGACUUAAAAGCAAAACUUGGGGGAUUUGCUCUGGACAUUUACAGAGUCUGAAGGAAUAAUGAAUAGAACUGGAACAGCCAGAAGAAACAGUGAUUGCCAGGGUGUAAAUUGAGCAGCAGUAUUUAAAAAUGUGUUUUGUGUCUGGCUUCAAGUGAAAAAAGGAUUUAGAUCAGAAUUGAUGUUAAGGUUGGAAGAUCAGCUUUUGAUUUGCCGAUAGCAAAAGUUAGAUGAAUUUGGGGAAAAUACGAUAGCACAAACUAGCAUGCCUCUGAAAUAUGAUUUCAUUGAUGGGGCUGUGAGCUUGUUUUCCUUUUACCUAUUUCAAAACUAAUUAAAUUAACUGGUACCGCGUCUACCUAUUUACACUGUAAUCUCAAAUCUAAUUCUGCACAUGGCCUUGAGACAUCUUUUCGUCUGUUGCCUUGAAAACAGGAAGAAAAGCAGAGACGGAGAAAGGAAAGCAUAAUCAAAAUGCCUGGUAGUAACUAAAGAUCUGAAUAUCAAACUGCUUCGUUGUCACAAUUAUUUAGAAACAAGCCAUCUCACUUGCAGUGAGCAUUACGAUCUCACAUGGCAAACAGUGGAAUAUCAAAUCAGGAGAUCAGAAUUUAUGUAACAAAUUAGUCACAUCAAACAUAAUAAGAUUUUGUGUUCUCUUUCUGCAGCACCACAUUAUCCAUUUCACAAAGUCUAGAGUAUGUUUAAAAAGACCCUCACAGUUUUCAUGGACAUUUCAGCAGCCCAAGAACAGAAGCCAUUAUAACAGUGCAACCUAAUAAAUUCUACCAAACUAGUGGAGUUUUCUUCUUC
This 1412-nucleotide long non-coding RNA is filed under the name Anser brachyrhynchus (Pink-footed goose). Its description in RNAcentral is "lncRNA (ENSABRG00000009090.1)". Lineage: Eukaryota; Metazoa; Chordata; Aves; Anseriformes; Anatidae. The record is from RNAcentral.